Molecule: ribosomal RNA, 551 nt
Filed under: uncultured Glomeromycotina
Lineage: Eukaryota; Fungi; Glomeromycota
Also listed under: 2 other names
Description: SSU rRNA
Rfam family: Eukaryotic small subunit ribosomal RNA
Source: RNAcentral
UUGGAGGGCAAGUCUGGUGCCAGCAGCCGCGGUAAUUCCAGCUCCAAUAGCGUAUAUUAAAGUUGUUGCAGUUAAAAAGCUCGUAGUUGAAUUUCGGGAUUCAUCCGUUGGUCGGGCUUCACGGUCCGUACUGGUGUGAUGGGUUCCUACCUUCUGAAUAACCGGCAUGCCAUUAAUUUGGUGCGCCGGGGAAGCAGAACUAUUACCUUGAAAAAAUUAGAGUGCUUAAAGCAGGCAAGUGCCUGAAUAGGUUAGCAUGGAAUAAUAAAAUAGGACGGCAUGGUUCUAUUUUGUUGGUUUCUAGGAUCACCGUAAUGAUUAAUAGGGAUAGUUGGGGGCAUUAGUAUUCAAUUGUCAGAGGUGAAAUUCUUGGAUUUAUUGAAGACUAACUUCUGCGAAAGCAUUUGCCAAGGAUGUUUUCAUUAAUCAAGAACGAAAGUUAGGGGAUCGAAGACGAUCAGAUACCGUCGUAGUCUUAACCAUAAACUAUGCCGACUAGGGAUCGGACGAUGUUAAUUUUUUAAUGACUCGUUCGGCGCCUUACGGGAAAC